ACCUGAAACCGUGUACGUACAAGCAGUGGGAGCACAGGUUUACCUGUGUGACUGCGUACCUUUUGUAUAAUGGGUCAGCGACUUAUAUUCUGUAGCAAGGUUAACCGUAUAGGGGAGCCGUAGGGAAACCGAGUCUUAACCGGGCGUUAAGUUGCAGGGUAUAGACCCGAAACCCGGUGAUCUAGCCAUGGGCAGGUUGAAGGUUGGGUAACACUAACUGGAGGACCGAACCGACUAAUGUUGAAAAAUUAGCGGAUGACCUGUGGCUGGGGGUGAAAGGCCAAUCAAACCGGGAGAUAGCUGGUUCUCCCCGAAAGCUAUUUAGGUAGCGCCUCGUGAAUUCAUCUCCGGGGGUAGAGCACUGUUUCGGCUAGGGGGCCAUCCCGGCUUACCAACCCGAUGCAAACUGCGAAUACCGGAGAAUGUUAUCACGGGAGACACACGGCGGGUGCUAACGUCCGUCGUGAAGAGGGAAACAACCCAGACCGCCAGCUAAGGUCCCAAAGUCAUGGUUAAGUGGGAAACGAUGUGGGAAGGCCCAGACAGCCAGGAUGUUGGCUUAGAAGCAGCCAUCAUUUAAAGAAAGCGUAAUAGCUCACUGGUCGAGUCGGCCUGCGCGGAAGAUGUAACGGGGCUAAACCAUGCACCGAAGCUGCGGCAGCGAACGUAUCACCCAAGACAACUUUACGGAGUUGACGAUUGACGGAGCGAAGCGACGUCAAAGCGUUCAUUAAAGUCGAGUUGGCUUAGGGAUACGUUCGUUGGGUAGGGGAGCGUUCUGUAAGCCUGUGAAGGUGUGUCGUGAGGCAUGCUGGAGGUAUCAGAAGUGCGAAUGCUGACAUAAGUAACGAUAAAGCGGGUGAAAAGCCCGCUCGCCGGAAGACCAAGGGUUCCUGUCCAACGUUAAUCGGGGCAGGGUGAGUCGACCCCUAAGGCGAGGCCGAAAGGCGUAGUCGAUGGGAAACGGGUUAAUAUUCCCGUACUUGGUGUUACUGCGAAGGGGGGACGGAGAAGGCUAUGUUGGCCGGGCGACGGUUGUCCCGGUUUAAGCGUGUAGGUGUGUGUUCCAGGUAAAUCCGGUUCACUUUAACACUGAGGCGUGACGACGAGGCACUACGGUGCUGAAGCAACAAAUGCCCUGCUUCCAGGAAAAGCCUCUAAGCAUCAGGUAACAC
RNAcentral lists this ribosomal RNA (1175 nucleotides) under Salmonella enterica subsp. enterica serovar Typhimurium. RNAcentral's name for it is "partial 23S ribosomal RNA". It matches the Rfam family "Bacterial large subunit ribosomal RNA", at positions 548 to 1637 of the family's 2925-position model. Lineage: Bacteria; Pseudomonadati; Pseudomonadota; Gammaproteobacteria; Enterobacterales; Enterobacteriaceae. The record is from RNAcentral.